UGAGGAAUAUUGGUCAAUGGGCGAGAGCCUGAACCAGCCAAGUAGCGUGCAGGAUGACGGCCCUAUGGGUUGUAAACUGCUUUUAUAUGGGAAUAAAGUGAGGGACGUGUCCCUUAUUGCAUGUACCAUACGAAUAAGGACCGGCUAAUUCCGUGCCAGCAGCCGCGGUAAUACGGAAGGUCCAGGCGUUAUCCGGAUUUAUUGGGUUUAAAGGGAGCGUAGGCUGUUUGUUAAGCGUGUUGUGAAAUGUAGGAGCUCAACUUUUAGAUUGCAGCGCGAACUGGCAGACUUGAGUGCGCACAACGUAGGCGGAAUUCAUGGUGUAGCGGAGAAAUGCUUAGAUAUCAUGACGAACUCCGAUUGCGAAGGCAGCUUACGGGAGCGCAACUGACGCUAAAGCUCGAAGGUGCGGGUAUCGAACAGG
RNAcentral lists this ribosomal RNA (424 nucleotides) under Verrucomicrobiota bacterium. RNAcentral's name for it is "Verrucomicrobia bacterium partial 16S ribosomal RNA". It matches the Rfam family "Bacterial small subunit ribosomal RNA", at positions 355 to 776 of the family's 1533-position model. Lineage: Bacteria; Pseudomonadati; Verrucomicrobiota. The record is from RNAcentral.